GUAGGGUGCAAGCGUUAAUCGGAAUUACUGGGCGUAAAGCGUACGCAGGCGGUUUUGUAAGUCUGACGUGAAAGCCCCGGGCUCAACCUGGGAAUUGCGUUGGAGACUGCAAGGCUUGAAUCUGGCAGAGGGGGGUAGAAUUCCACGUGUAGCAGUGAAAUGCGUAGAGAUGUGGAGGAACACCGAUGGCGAAGGCAGCCCCUCGGGUCAAGAUUGACGCUCAUGCACGAAAGCGUGGGGAGCAAACAGGAUUAGAUACCCUGGUAGUCCACGCCCUAAACGAUGUCUACUAGUUGUCGGGUCUUAAUUGACUUGGUAACGCAGCUAACGCGUGAGGUAGACCGCCUGGGGAGUACGGUCGCAAGAUU
This 368-nucleotide ribosomal RNA is filed under the name uncultured bacterium. RNAcentral's name for it is "bacterial SSU rRNA". It matches the Rfam family "Bacterial small subunit ribosomal RNA", at positions 527 to 895 of the family's 1533-position model. The record is from RNAcentral.